GACGAACGCGGCGGCGUGCCUAAUACAUGCAAGUCGAACGAACCGCGACUAGGUGCUUGCACUUGGUCAAGGUGAGUGGCGAACGGGUGAGUAACACGUGGGUAACCUACCUCAUAGUGGGGGAUAACAGUCGGAAACGACUGCUAAUACCGCAUAGGACAUAGGAUCACAUGAUCCAGUGAGGAAAGGUGGCGCAAGCUAUCGCUAAGAGAUGGACCCGCGGUGCAUUAGCUAGUUGGUAGGGUAAAGGCCUACCAAGGCGAUGAUGCAUAGCCGACCUGAGAGGGUGAUCGGCCACAUUGGGACUGAGACACGGCCCAAACUCCUACGGGAGGCAGCAGUAGGGAAUCUUCCGCAAUGGACGCAAGUCUGACGGAGCAACGCCGCGUGAGUGAAGAAGGUCUUCGGAUCGUAAAGCUCUGUUGUUAGAGAAGAACAGCGCAUAGAGUAACUGUUAUGUGUGUGACG
RNAcentral lists this ribosomal RNA (468 nucleotides) under Abiotrophia defectiva. Its description in RNAcentral is "bacterial SSU rRNA". It matches the Rfam family "Bacterial small subunit ribosomal RNA", at positions 28 to 474 of the family's 1533-position model. Lineage: Bacteria; Bacillati; Bacillota; Bacilli; Lactobacillales; Aerococcaceae. The record is from RNAcentral.